GAAGUCUUAACAGCCUCUUGAAGUGCUUCAGAGCAAAGGUAAAUUCACCUCACGAUAAAACAGAGAGGUAAAACAGAUUUGCCCGCGACACGAGUGAAGCAGGGGUCAGUAGCCCGCUAGUCCCCGAGCCGAGGCGGGUAAAUAACCCGAGGGAACGAUCUCCACCCGCCCGGAGACCGGGCUGCCUUUGUCUCUCCCCUCCGGGCGGCAGCGGGCGCUUGCCGAGGGGGCGCAGGCGAGGGCGGCGAACAAAGGAAAGAAGACUCUGUCACCGCAGCCCUGCCCGUACACAGAGUGCCCGCAGACUCUGUCACCGCAGCCCUGCCCGUACACAGGGUGCCCGCACCCCUGCCCGGCCCGAGCAGGCUCCCCUGAAGGGGACGCUGAAUAAUUGCUAAUAAUCGAUCGCCUGCAUGCAUUGGGCAGCGAAAGCGGGCGCAUCCCUUGCUUGCAGCUUACUCCUUCCCCCGUUUGCCCUGUAAUCCUAUGCCACCAUGUGCAGAUAGAUGAAGGGACGUAAUUCAGCCUUCAGGCCUGGGCGGGGUUCUCGCCGUUUCAUCUUUUCCUUUCUCUUCCCUUCGCUGCUUUCUUCCCUCCCCCUUUCCAUCUCCCAGGCCCAGUGAGGUCAGCUCAUGAAUAUUGCUUCAUUUUCCUGAGAGGCGCUGGCAGCGGCGGGUACCUCGUGUGCGGUGCCCGGCUCUCCGUGCAUGCAUUUCUCCAGCCGGGCAGCGGACAAAGUGGUGCUCUCGGGGCGGCGGCGGCGGAGGAGGCGGAGGACCCCGCCGGUGAUGGACGCGCGCCCGAGAUCCCCCCCCCCCCCCCCCCCCCCCCCCCCCCCCCCCCCCCCCCCCCCCCCCCCCCCCCCCCCCCCCCCCCCCCCC
Molecule: long non-coding RNA, 881 nt
Filed under: Ficedula albicollis (Collared flycatcher)
Lineage: Eukaryota; Metazoa; Chordata; Aves; Passeriformes; Muscicapidae
Description: lncRNA (ENSFALG00000019037.2)
Source: RNAcentral